Molecule: ribosomal RNA, 460 nt
Filed under: uncultured bacterium
Lineage: Bacteria
Description: partial 16S ribosomal RNA
Rfam family: Bacterial small subunit ribosomal RNA
Source: RNAcentral
CCUACGGGUGGCAGCAGUGAGGAAUAUUGGUCAAUGGGAGGAAUACUGAACCAGCCAUGCCGCGUGCAGGACGACGGCUCUACGAAUUGUAAACUGCUUUUGUACCGGGGUAAAAUGCUCUACGUGUAGGGGUUUGAGAGUACGGUACGAAUAAGGAUCGGCUAACUCCGGGCCAGCAGCCGCGGUAAUACGGAGGAUCCGAGCGUUAUCCGGAUUCAUUGGGUUUAAAGGGUGCGUAGGUUGUUUGAUAAGUUAGCGGGGAAAUCCCGAUGCUCAACAUCGGGGCUGCCGCUGAUACUGUAGGACUAGAGAUCGGAUGCAGCAGGCGGAAUGUGUGGUGUAGCGGUGAAAUGCAUAGAUAUGACACAGAACACCGAUUGCGAAGGCAGCUUGCUAGGCCGGAUCUGACACUGAUGCACGAAAGCGUGGGUAUCGAACAGGAUUAGAUACCCGGGUAGUC